AUGCCUUAUUAAAGACUGUUGCAAUGAUUAAGAGACUAACACAGAAAGGUAAAGUAAAUUUCCACAAAGCCCAAAAAAGACAGCAAAACUCUGAAUCCUGUCUGGUGUCACAAUU
Small nucleolar RNA from Erinaceus europaeus (western European hedgehog), 115 nucleotides. The record is from Ensembl. Lineage: Eukaryota; Metazoa; Chordata; Mammalia; Eulipotyphla; Erinaceidae.